This 406-nucleotide ribosomal RNA is filed under the name uncultured bacterium. RNAcentral's name for it is "partial 16S ribosomal RNA". It matches the Rfam family "Bacterial small subunit ribosomal RNA", at positions 30 to 526 of the family's 1533-position model. The record is from RNAcentral.
AUUGAACGCUGGCGGCAGGCCUAACACAUGCAAGUCGAACGAGUGGCGGACGGGUGAGUAAUGUCUGGGAAAAUGCCUGAUGGAGGGGGAUAACUACUGGAAACGGUAGCUAAUACCGCAUACCAUCGGAUGUGCCCCUAUGGGAUUAGCUAGUAGGUGGGGUAAAGGCUCACCUGGGCGACGAUCCCUAGCUGGUUUGAGAGGAUGACCAGCCACACUGGAAAUGAGACACGUUCCAGACUCCUAAGGUGGGCAGCAGUGGGGAAUAUUGCACAAUGGGCGAAACCCUGAUGCAGCAAUGUCGGGUGUAUGAAGAAGGCCUGCGGGUUGUAAAGUACUUUCAGCGGGGAGGCGUUACCCGCAGAAGAAGCACCGGCUAACUCCGUGCCAGCCGCCGCGGUAAUAC